Long non-coding RNA from Crotalus tigris (Tiger rattlesnake), 336 nucleotides. RefSeq lists it as uncharacterized. The record is from RefSeq and is a predicted model, not a curated record. The transcript is spliced from 3 exons. NCBI's taxonomy places the organism in Eukaryota, Metazoa, Chordata, Lepidosauria, Squamata, Viperidae.
UAAAGGCUGUUAUGAUGCCAAAGCUGCAGUGUACAUAGCUCAGUUAAUAGUUAAAAAUGGAGUAUGGGGGAACUGCAGAAAAGAUGUUAAGAAAAGAAAUGAUCCUACAGAACUUCAAGUUAUGCAGUGUAAACAGGAUGGGAAAAUAUCCAACAAGCAAGUAGCCUGGUUAAUCUUCAAACUCACUUAUCCACACUUCAGGUUGAAGAAGAUGAAAUCAUUCAUUAAACUGAGACAAGUGACUGUCUUAAACACUAUCCCAAAGUGGCUCUCAAUGUCAGACCAGAUAUGAGCAAUUUUAUCAACAAUUUUCUGCAAACACAUCACAGGGGAUAG